This 497-nucleotide ribosomal RNA is filed under the name uncultured bacterium. RNAcentral describes it as "partial 16S ribosomal RNA". It matches the Rfam family "Bacterial small subunit ribosomal RNA", at positions 28 to 507 of the family's 1533-position model. The record is from RNAcentral.
GACGAACGCUGGCGGCGUGCCUAAUACAUGCAAGUUGAGCGAUGAAGAUUGGUGCUUGCCCCCAUUUGCAGAGCAGCGAACGGGUGAGUAACGCGUGGGGAAUCUGCCUUUGAGCGGGGGACAACAUUUGGAAACGAAUGCUAAUACCGCAUAACAACUUUAAACAUAAGUUUUAAGUUUGAAAGAUGCAAUUGCAUCACUCAAAGAUGAUCCCGCGUUGUAUUAGCUAGUUGGUGAGGUAAAGGCUCACCAAGGCGAUGAUACAUAGCCGACCUGAGAGGGUGAUCGGCCCCAUUGGGACUGAGACACGGCCCAAACUCCUACGGGAGGCAGCAGUAGGGAAUCUUCGGCAAUGGACGAAAGUCUGACCGAGCAACGCCGCGUGAGUGAAGAAGGUUUUCGGAUCGUAAAACUCUGUUGGUAGAGAAGAACGUUGGUGAGAGUGGAAAGCUCAUCAAGUGACGGUAACUACCCAGAAAGGGACGGCUAACUACGUG